Molecule: ribosomal RNA, 253 nt
Filed under: uncultured bacterium
Lineage: Bacteria
Description: partial 16S ribosomal RNA
Rfam family: Bacterial small subunit ribosomal RNA
Source: RNAcentral
UACGAAGGGGGCUAGCGUUGCUCGGAUUUACUGGGCGUAAAGGGCGCGUAGGCGGACAGUUUAGUCAGAGGUGAAAGCCCAGGGCUCAACCUUGGAAUUGCCUUUGAUACUGGCUGUCUUGAGUACGGGAGAGGUGAGUGGAACUCCGAGUGUAGAGGUGAAAUUCGUAGAUAUUCGGAAGAACACCAGUGGCGAAGGCGGCUCACUGGCCCGAUACUGACGCUGAGGCACGAAAGCGUGGGGAGCAAACAGG